GAUGAACGCUGGCGGCGUGCCUAAUACAUGCAAGUCGAGCGAACAGACGAGGAGCUUGCUCCUCUGACGUUAGCGGCGGACGGGUGAGUAACACGUGGAUAACCUACCUAUAAGACUGGGAUAACUUCGGGAAACCGGAGCUAAUACCGGCUAAUAUCUUGAACCGCCUGGUUCAAUAGUGAAAGACGGUCUUGCUGUCACUUAUAGCUGGCUCCGCGCCGCAUUAGCUAGUUGGUAAGGUAACGGCUUACCAAGGCAACGAUGCGUAGCCGACCUGAGAGGGGGAUCGGCCGCACUGGACAGGAGACACGGUCCAGACUCCUACGGGAGGCAGCAGUAGGGAAUCUUACGCAAUGGGCGGAAGCCUGACGGAGCAACGCCGCGUGAGUGAUGAAGGUCUGCGGAUCGUAAAACUCUGUUAUUAGGGAAGAACAAAUGUGUAAGUAACUAUGCACGUCUUGACGGUACCUAAUCAGAAAGCCACGGCUAACUACGUG
This 497-nucleotide ribosomal RNA is filed under the name uncultured bacterium. Its description in RNAcentral is "partial 16S ribosomal RNA". It matches the Rfam family "Bacterial small subunit ribosomal RNA", at positions 28 to 507 of the family's 1533-position model. The record is from RNAcentral.